AGACGGAGGGUGCAAACGUUGUUCGGAAUUACUGGGCAUAAAGAGCACGUAGGCGGUCCGGUCAGUCUGGUGUGAAAGCCCUCGGCUCAACCGGGGAACUGCAUCGGAUACUGCCGGACUCGAGGACGGUUGGGGUGAGUGGAACUCCUGGUGGAGCGGUGAAAUGCGUAGAUAUCAGGAGGAACACCAGUGGCGAAAGCGACUCACUGGGCCGUUUCUGACGCUGAGGUGCGAAAGCUAGGGUAGCGAACGGGAUUAGAUACCCCAGUAGUCC
This 274-nucleotide ribosomal RNA is filed under the name uncultured bacterium. RNAcentral's name for it is "partial 16S ribosomal RNA". It matches the Rfam family "Bacterial small subunit ribosomal RNA", at positions 523 to 796 of the family's 1533-position model. The record is from RNAcentral.